UUGUCGCUGUCGUUGGCAUUGCAUUUGUGGGUCCGUUGGUGUUGCUACCAACACCAGCUAACUGUAAAAAGCUGUAGCAGACAAAAUAUCCUUAAUCAUCAAAUGUUUUCAGUUGAUAGUAACAUAUCGACUGGAGUGGUUGUGUCCUCUAAUCCGGCACUUGUCUCCUUUGGUCUGCGAGACUGUAGAGGCAGUGGCAGUCAAUCAGCCAUUCAGUCAAUGACUGGAAUUGAUUAAAGUGUUGAAAAUCAUAAACCAAAUAUUAGAAAUAUGGACAUUAGAAAUUAAAUGGAUAUUUACACUACAGCGGAAUCCUUCUCUAAAGAAGAGAGCGUGCGAGUGUAUGUGUGCUGAUAAAAAAUAAGAAUGGACUGUGCAAUAAUUGUUGUAUCAUUUUUGCUAUCAGUGAAUCGAUUGGAAAUGUGUUUGUGAAGACAUUGUGGCCAACACCAUCGUGGGUUCGCGUCUCGACCCGACCCAAGUUCCCCCUGUGUUGUGCGGUCAAUGUGGGCCAUGUUAUUUUGUUUUCCCAACUUCUGUGCAGGCAGCAAUAACAACAGCUGCCACAAACAAAUAUGUGUUGUUGGAAAAAAAAUCCGAAACGAACCGAAACUUUGAAGAAAAGUAAUACGAAUCCCCUCCCACCAUAAAGGAUAAAACGGAGAAGAAGAAGAAGAAAAUAAAGGAAGAAAAAACAAAAAAACCGUUAUCAAGUGUUUAGUUUCUCAUGUGUUACUUUGUGCAGUUUUUAAGUGUGUUGUAGUUACCAACAAGACCCGUUAGUCGGUGCUCAAAAUACAUUACCGAGGAUUUUGUUUGUGGCUUCGUCGACAUCCACAUUGUCUUGUGUGCCAUCAACCCACCCACCCAUUAUCCACCCGCCACCGUCGCAGCCGUCUUCGACGCAAUAGCCAAAUGGAAAAUCAAUAUUUUCAAUAUUAUGCGGCAGGCAGGCAGGCUGGUAGUCAGACAGGCAGAAAACAUUUGAUUGGCAGCAAUUGGUGGUACUACAGGCUUGUUUUACAAACAAGUGCAAUUUACUUAAAUUACUGCAUGCAUUCUUAAGUGGCUGCGGCAGUAGUGCGGUUGGGGGGUCACUGGUGGGUGAAGCGUUAGACUGCGCUCAUACGCAACGCAUUACUCUAUGACAAUCCUGUGAGAACUAAUACUCCAUUGCAUUGCUGCGUUAGCCGUAUGUGGCCAUUAUCAGCAUCAUUAUACCAUAUGUGGGUAUGGGUGAGUGUUUCCAAACCCUACCCCCCAGACCAAAUCAACCGCUCACGAUUAUCCUUCUGGGGAAAAGCAAUGCAGUGAUGAAACUUGUCAUUAAUCAUUCUCAGAGUUUUCCUUGUUUGUUUGGCGUCCUUCAAUGAAGAAUGUUGUUUGUGUGUGUGUGUCGGUGAGGAAAAAUAAAAAAAAAAUCAGCCUUUGUUGGCUGGCUAUCUCUCUGUUCCCGAAAACUGUUCGCGUCUUGAAAUCUACAACGACUUCCAACACCACUGUGCCAUAAUAUCUACAAUCCCAUUGCUCUUGUCCCACCACCAUUAAUAUCCAAUUCUUAUCGCAAUCUAUCUCCUCAUGGAGAUACGGCUAAGAAGCAUCUUCCUGAUGAUACUGAUGCUGUGGAAAAUGAAUUUUGUUGAACACAGAGACAUUUCGGUUCGUUUCUCAGUGUAAGGACACUAUCUGGAGGGAGGAUAGGAUGCGACAAAGAAGAAAAAGGAAAAAUAUACG
Molecule: long non-coding RNA, 1734 nt
Organism: Musca domestica (house fly)
Lineage: Eukaryota; Metazoa; Arthropoda; Insecta; Diptera; Muscidae
Exons: 4
Source: RefSeq, a predicted model, not a curated record